AGACUGGAAGGGAAAGUUGGGAAGCAGAUAUGGUGUAAAUGGGGGGUCUUCACUCUGGCACAUCUCAGAGGAUGGAGCAGGUGAACACAUUUGAGGACUUUGAGCUGGAGAAUAAAUGCACAUGUGGUGAUUUGCUCAACAGAGAGUAUUUGGGCCCUGUGCCUCAGUGUGGGUGGGGUGUGGCCCUAGGCUGUGAAGGCACCUGUUUAUGGCCCUCCUUGGGGACAGGCUGCUCCAGCACCCCAAGUGCACUCUGUCGUGGGCUCAGCUCACAUGCGCCACUCUGAGAGUCAUCCAGCCAGGUGUUGCCAGACCCAGAUUCACAGAUUUCCCCAUCAUGUGGUGCCCACUGGCCCUGCCCUGACCUGUGCCCCUUCCUAUACAGACGUCUGUGUUAACUCGCCUAUGGGUCCGUGACCAACAUGAGGGUCAACAGCACCAUGACAGCCAGGCACGUGCUCAUCCUGCUGCUGAACAAGUUCUGGGUGGAGAAUGGCCCCAGUGAGUUUGCACUCUAUAUCGUCCAUGAAUCUGGGGGGGCAGCAUUCUAAGGUUCGGAGAAGGUUCCAAGCCCCAUGGACAUCUGUUUCUAUCACAACCCCAUCUUGGAAGAGAGAAGCAAUCUUAAUGCCCCAUGAAUUUUGUAAACCACCUUCCUCUUCAGAACAGACAAAACUAAAAGACGGUGAGUACCCGCUGAUUUCCAGAAUCCUGCACGGGCCAUGUGAGAAGAUUGCCAGGAUACUCCUGAUGGAAGCUGACUUGGGCGAGGAGGUCCCCCACGAUGUGAGUGGGAGCUGAGGCUCGGGGGCCUGUUCCUUUGUGCAGGGCUAGGGGCAUUCUGAGGGACCUCCUUGGCCAGAGUGUCAGGGAAGAUGUUUCCAGGCCACAUUGCUGUCCUAAAGCCCCAGCCCAGCACUGUGAUGGCUCCAGCCUUGUUCCUAUCAGGGACCACCAGCUUCUGCAGCGGCUCAGGGGAGAGAGAAUUUGGGCCUUAGAGAACCGGGCCUGUGCUUCCACGGAAGCAGACAGGACCUUCUGGUAUGUUUUUCAUCAUCACUGCAUACACAGUGGUUCCUCACUGGGGCCACCACCCAAGUCCUGACUAGGAGACCAGCACAUUUCCAAACUCCCCUGCACAGAAAAGGCAAGUCAUGUGACCCUUGUCCUGGGCCAUUCAUGGGCUGAUGCCAGUUCAUUCCGGUGAGAAACAGCAGCCUUCCCAGUACCGCACCCAGUGUGGUGCCUCUCACUGUUGAGUGCUUCCCAGUGCUCACUUAGCUGCCCCUCCCAGGGAUGCUAGAUGGGCUCCCUCCUCCCACCCUGGCACACACACACCUGUGCUGUGGCACGUGGGGGGGCACCACUUCCAUGGGUAUCAGACACUGCCUCUAUCGGCCCCUAUGGAAACUGUCAGGAAAAGAACACACAUUUUUGUUUUCUAAUUUAGAGCACAUUCCAAUGUUAGAUUUUCUAGGUCGCUCAGUACAUUAAGUUUGAAAUGCCAGUGCUGGAUAGUUUUGUUGAGAAAUUAAAACAACAGGAGGAAAGAGAAGUAAUCAAACUGACCACGAAGUAAGCAGCACUCAAAGACCCAGUCUUGGGUCCUGGACCUCGGGGCAAGUCUGCUGGGCAGAGCCCCUGGGGCCAGACAGGGGGCACUCAGGCUCCCCUAGUGCACAGCCCAGGGCCUUGCAAACCCCGGCCCCCCAGCACUGCCCUCUGGCCCAGGCUUGGUGUUAAUACCAACUGAGUGACAGCCCACCGAAAUGGUGGGAUGCAGCCCAGACCACCACAGUGGCGGCCUCCAUGCCUCACUGCAGGGGCACACGCUGCUGGAAACUGGACAGGAGUCAGGCAGGGGCAGGGGCACUGGGCCAAGGUUGUCAUUCUGGUGACACAGCCCUGGAAGAGCAAUGAGGACAGGGCCUGCUUGGUGCCGAGUGUUCUGAGCCUGCCAAAAAGCAGUGGCUGUUGGAAUCCCCGUGCCAGCUACCUUUCAGGUGUGGAGACCGGUUUGGAAACCAGUUCAACAGACAGGUGAGCAGCUGUAACCUGCCAGCUCCUGGGAAGGUGAUGUGAAGGCUCAGCUGUACCUCCCGAGGAUGUGUUUGAGGCGUGUGGGUACACAGCUCUCACCAGUGCCUGAGUGGGAGCCCUCAGAGGAGUGGGAAUGGGCAGGCUGCUCAACACAGGGGCCUGCAGUCCAGGACCAGUUUUGAUUCUGGCUUCUGACUGAAGGAUUCUUGGAAACUACCCCCCACUUCCUGUUUUGCAGCCGGGGCCCCUCAGGCAGCCAUCCAGCCCCAUCAGGGAGAACAGACGACACACAGAUGGCAGGUCACCGAAGGGUUUUGGAGUUGAGGGUGCCUGGGGGUCACUUGGUUCAUUUGUUCAGUGUGUGGACAGCCCAUGGGGCCCAAGACAGGAAGGUGGCAGCACAGGCUGUUAUGGCCCAGGAUGGCAGGCAGGCUUCCCAUUCCCUCCAGCCUGCUCCUCCCCACACUAGAGAACCGCAGAAAGAAGCUGCAGCACUUGGCUUUCAGGCAGGACCUGGUCUGCCGACCUGUGGGACUGCUCCCUGAACCAGUGCUCUUCCCAGGCCCGCCUGGCCUUUCCCUCCCCUGGUGGAGGAGAGACAGUCCUCGAAUCAGCCGGUCAAGGGCCCUGGGUCUCCUGGCCCACGUGUCUGUGCUGUCCCUCCCUCUGUCCCACGUGCCUCCAGCCUGAGUGGGCCCUCUUGUCUGCAUCUCCCCCAGGUUCCAGGCCCUGCGUGUGAUGAUGUUGCAGCGUCUGCAGGAGAUGGUGGAGACUCAGUAGCCCACAGCCAGUCACCCAGAGGGCCAGUGGGCAGACGCUGACUGAGGGCUGCCGGCUGGGAGUCCCACAUCAAGCCGCUGCCUGUCCACCUGCCUAAGGACCCUGAGUCCCGUGGCCCUGGCUCUUGGCUCCCAGAGCACUCACAGGACCCAGAGCCCGGCCAAGGGGCGAGGAACUCACUGGACGGGGUCUCUGUAUGGGGCUGGCCUGUACAGUGAGCAGCCCCAAAGUGGAGGCACUGGCCAUACUGUGUGGCUGGAUGGUGUGGCCGUUCCCAUUCCGCCACACCUGUCCUGCUCAGGAGAGUGGUGCCUGACUGCAGCCCAGGGCCUGGGCUUUCCCAGCACCCAGCCCUGAGCCUCCUUGGGGCCAUUGCCCGUUCUCAACAUCUAUGUGAACCACAUGGUCUGGGCCCUCACCUCAUGCUGCUACUCAGGAGCUCUGCAAGGAGGAGCAGGAGCUGCCAGCAGAUAUGGGACCCACCCUGCUCCCAGCCAUCACUUUCCCAUGGCUCGCCUGGCAUGCAGGCCUCCAGUGUCACCAUGUGAACCUGCAUAGCCCAGUCCUGGGUGCCAGAUGUCGGACCAGGAACAAGUCAUGAGUGUCUCGUUUUCUCCCAGCACCACUCGCUCCUACUUGAGCUUGCUGCCCAAACACUGAGCUCUGGUCAUGUGUAGAACAUGGCUGUACACCACUGGAAGGGGGCCACCCUGAGCUGAGAGUGCAGGGCUGCUGGCGGCUCAGAGGGUGGCGCACAUUCCUCAGGGGCCUGGGUGCCUCCUGCCCUCUGUGAGCUUGCAUCUUCCUCCACCUCCCGUCAAAAGAGGUGCAAGGAGGAGACAGUCUGAGGAGGAAGGGGUUUGAAUUCGCUGAGGCCAAAUACUUAACAAUUUGGGUUUGUCAGCUGAUGGGGAAUUUCUGGAAUGAAUCAGAAGGCCUUUGGAAAACUGUAGCAGUUUACUUCACUCAUGUGAAGUAUUUGUCCCAAACAGAGCAAGCUAAAGACCAAAGUCUUCUCCCGCAGGGGCGUGGGCAGCAGAUUUCAAGAGAACUAUAAAGUCUUCCAAAUGUAGGAGAGACUAUCUGCUUCAUGCCAGGGUUUUCCGACCUAACCCUGCUGUCACAGAGAUGCACAGGGUGAUGCCUGGGGUGACCCUCCAUGGUUUCUACUGUCCCUGCUCCCUUUGGCAGCAUGGUUUUCUAGGUGCUCAAUAAAGGUGUGUAUGUGAACUGAA
Molecule: non-coding RNA, 4055 nt
Organism: Manis javanica (Malayan pangolin)
Lineage: Eukaryota; Metazoa; Chordata; Mammalia; Pholidota; Manidae
Source: RefSeq, a predicted model, not a curated record